AUCAUGCAUCACAUUCCUCUGAUACAUAUCUUUUUUUUCUGUUGGAAACUAGUUCGCCAUUUCUUAUGGAGAUCAGAGAAGAGAUGGCUGUAUGUACAUAUUAUGCAGCCACGUUUGAUUUCGAAUUGUAAUCUCUCCCUUGUGAAAGAUUCACGAGCGUUGAAUGUAACAGCCAGAGAAUCGAGAGCUGUGAGGACGGAGACAAGAAGGAAGAAAUGAUGACUCUUCAACGCAUUUUAUUACAAAUUCCGUUCGUCAAAUGGCAAAGAUAACGAAAUGAAACAAGUUCCUCAAGGCGCUGUAGAUAUCCAAAGAUAACUUGAUAACAGUAGUAACAAUAAUGAACACAAUUCGAAGGAGACGAAGCAUCUUGCUAAUUAUAUGGAAUUAUUUUAUAAGUGUAACAAAAGAUACAUUCGAAGGAUAAAAAAACAAAUCGCGAAAUGAAGACACACUGCAUUAAAACAACUCUGUGACGAGGCAAACUUUCCUGGAUAGUUGCUCGUAAUUUUUUGUUUCGCGAACAAAACUGGCCACUUUUAUCAAUGAAUUCGCCUCGAAGCACGGAGGAAAACUCGGGUUGUGUAGAAGGGACCACUCGCUAGUUGUGUCUAUGAUAAUAUUUGGUUAAACAAUUUCACAAGUCUAGAGGAAUCUUAUAACUCUUUUUCAUGCGUGAUUUUUAUACGAUUUCAGAGAAAAAUUGAAGAUGAAUACGAAAAUAACGAUCCCCUGGUAUCCGCAAUAUUAAUUAUCUUUUAACAAGAUAAUCUUACCAUCUGUCCGAAGGAACUCGAGUAAUUCUAUUGUAUGCGUCACAAAUCACUCGAACACUUUGCAUAUAACUAGGAAUAAUUGUCUUUAGAUCGUUAUCAGGACGGAUCAGUUUGUUCGAAAAAUGUUAUAUGAAUGUUACUUUUUCGUGUAACACGUAUGUCUCCGAGUCGUAAAUUUUCUUGCUUGUUGAAUAAAAUUGGCGUAUUUUUAGUAAUAAAACUAUGCAAAUUAGAAAUGACUGUAAAUUAUCUCAGUAAGCAAGCUGGGCAUUUUCAUUAAUUUGCAA
Long non-coding RNA from Frieseomelitta varia, 1063 nucleotides. RefSeq lists it as uncharacterized. Lineage: Eukaryota; Metazoa; Arthropoda; Insecta; Hymenoptera; Apidae. The record is from RefSeq and is a predicted model, not a curated record. The transcript has 2 exons.